CUCGGUGCCCGUCGCAACGCUACGCUACAAAAGCGUAAAGUCGCAUGAGUUUUAGCGUGCGCUCGGUGCGUGUGACGCCACCCGGUGCGUGCGAGCUGCAGCAAUGUGCGAUUGGCGACGGCUGCCGCCGACGCUGCUGCGAAUCUGCAGCCGGGGCGGCCGCUGGUGGAGACAGACGUUCCGGCCGACGCCGCUCACGGAUGAAGAUGUGGAGACGACUUCGGGCAUCACGGAGGAAGUGGAAGGAGGUCUAGUGGAGCACCGAAUUAUAUUUGUGAACCGUCCACAACCAAGCAAAUACUGCAGUAAUCACAUCUCCACUGCCAAAUACAACAUGCUCUCUUUUGUACCAAGCUUCCUUUUUGAGCAGUUUCGGCGUUACUCCAACAUCUUUUUUCUGUUCAUCGCACUGUUGCAGCAAAUUCCUGAUGUGUCUCCUACUGGACGGUAUACCACAUUGGUGCCUCUAGUGUUCAUCCUUAGUGUAUCAGCUAUAAAGGAGAUUAUUGAAGAUGUUAAAAGGCAUCAUGCAGACAAUGAAAUCAAUCAUCGUGAUGUUGAAGUGUUAAGAGAUGGUCACUGGCUUUGGAUACAGUGGCGAAAUGUAGUGGUGGGAGAUAUUGUUAAAGUGCACAACAAUCAGUUUUUUCCAGCAGACCUCAUUAUCCUGUCAUCAAGUGAACCACAAGCAAUUUGCUACAUUGAAACUUCAAACCUGGAUGGAGAAACUAACUUGAAAAUCAGACAGGCACUGCCUGACACAGCGCACCUUUUGGAAACAAAAGAUUUGACACAAUUCACUGGAACACUGGAAUGUGAGCUCCCAAAUCGUCAUUUAUACGAGUUCACAGGAAUCUUGAAAGAAACAAACAAACAGACAUUACCACUGGGACCUGACCAGCUUUUACUUAGAGGUGCAAUGCUGCGCAAUACCAGCUGGAUAUUUGGCCUUGUGGUAUAUACUGGUCAUGAGACCAAACUCAUGAAGAAUUCUACCUCAGCUCCACUGAAACGUUCUACUGUUGAUAAGCUCACAAACACACAGAUACUGAUGUUGUUCUUCAUACUUAUUGUUCUGUGUCUGCUUUCUGCUAUAUUUAAUGAAAUAUGGACUAAGGAACAUGCAAGAACAGACUGGUAUAUUGGUAUUGAUGAAAUGAUUAAUCUCAACUUCGGGUAUAAUCUUCUGACAUUCAUAAUAUUGUACAACAACCUGAUACCAAUAUCCUUACAAGUUUCUCUUGAGGUUGUUCGUUUUGUACAGGCUAUUUUUAUUAAUAUGGAUAUUGAUAUGUACCACGAAGAAAGUGAUACACCAGCUAUGGCAAGGACAUCAAAUCUGAAUGAAGAGCUAGGACAGGUGAAGUAUAUAUUCUCAGAUAAGACUGGCACACUUACAAGAAAUAUAAUGGAUUUCAAGAAGUGCUCCAUAGCUGAACAAAUUUAUACUUUAGCAGAUAAUCCAAAUGACACACAGUUAGUGAAGAAUUUGCAGUCUGGUCAUCCUUCAGCUCUCUACCUUAGAGAAUUCCUUAUUCUUAUGUCCGUUUGUCAUACAGUCAUUCCGGAGAGGAGUAAGGAUACAAUUAUAUAUAAUGCUGCCUCACCAGAUGAGAGGGCUCUUGUUCGUGGUGCCUGCCUUUUUGGCUAUGUUUUUGACACCAGGACACCACAUCAUGUAGAAAUAAGUGCUUUGGGAACUAGAGAGCGAUAUGAAAUUCUGAAUGUCUUGGAAUUUACAAGCAGUAGGAAAAGAAUGUCAGUCAUUACACGGAAUUCAGCUGGUGAAAUAAAGUUAUAUUGUAAAGGUGCAGACACUGUGAUAUAUGAAAGGUUAUCUCCAGAUGGGCAACAGUUCCGUGAGGCAACUCUCAGACACCUGGAAGAAUUUGCUACUGAAGGGCUUAGAACAUUGUGUUGCGCAGUUGCCAACAUAUCAGAAGAGGCCUAUGAGGAAUGGAAAAACACUUACCAUAAAGCAAGCACUUCAAUGCAGUAUCGGGAGAGGAAGUUAGAAGAUGCAGCAAAUUUAAUAGAAAAUAACCUAACACUUCUGGGAGCAACAGCUAUAGAAGACAAAUUACAAGAUCAGGUGCCUGAAACAAUAGCAGCCCUCAUUAAAGCUGAUAUACGUGUUUGGGUAUUGACGGGGGAUAAACAAGAAACUGCUAUUAAUAUUGGCUAUUCAUGUAAGCUAAUAGUUCAUGGAACACCACUACUGAUACUGAAUGAAGAUAGCCUUGAUAGUACACGAGAAACAAUAGCACGCCAUAGUUCAGAAUUUGGUGACCAGUUGGGCAAAUCAAAUGAUGUUGCUCUUGUUAUUGAUGGGAAAACUCUAAAAUAUGCCCUCAGUUGUGAUGUGAGAAGGGAUUUUCUUGACCUCUGUGUCAGUUGCAAUGUGGUUAUCUGCUGCCGUGUCUCCCCAAUGCAGAAGGCUGAGGUUGUGGAACUUGUUACAUCACAUACGAAAAGUAUUACACUGGCUAUAGGAGAUGGUGCAAAUGAUGUUGCUAUGAUCCAAAAAGCUCAUGUUGGAGUUGGAAUCUCAGGAGUUGAAGGUCUCCAAGCAGCAUGCGCAUCUGAUUAUUCGAUAGCACAGUUUCGAUUUCUUCUGAAGCUGCUUUUUGUUCAUGGAGCAUGGAACUACAAUCGAAUGUGCAAAUUAAUAUUGUACAGCUUUUACAAAAACAUAUGCCUUUACGUAAUUGAACUGUGGUUUGCAAUAUAUUCAGGGUGGUCAGGACAAAUCCUGUUUGAGCGUUGGUCUAUUGGGUUAUACAAUGUGUUGUUCACAGCAGCUCCACCACUUGCACUGGGUCUGUUUGACAAAGUCUGUUCUGCUGAGACAAUGCUGAAGUAUCCUGCUCUGUACAAACCAUCUCAGAAUGCUGAUCUGUUCAAUGUUAGAGUUUUCUGGGUAUGGAUCCUCAAUGCUCUUGUACACUCAGUACUGCUGUACUGGCUACCAUUAUUUGCUCUGCAGAAAGAUGUUAUAUGGGCCAAUGGACGAGAAGGUGGUUAUCUGCUUCUAGGAAAUAUUGUGUAUACGUAUGUCGUAGUGACAGUAUGUUUGAAGGCUGGCUUGGUGACAAAUGCGUGGACGUGGCUCACUCAUCUUGCAAUCUGGGGCUCAAUUGCCAUGUGGUUUAUCUUUGUUGCUGUGUACAGUAAUUUUUGGCCUGUCAUCCCUGUUGGAGCUGUUAUGCUGGGAAUGGAUCGAAUGAUGUGUACUUCACCUGUUUUUUGGCUUGGACUCAUUCUCAUCCCAUUUAGUACACUGAUAGCAGAUGUGUCCUACAAGGUCAUCCAUUCGACAGCAUUUAAAUCACUUACAGAAGCUGCAAGGGAAAGUGAAAUCAGGAAAACAGACCCAGGAAAUGUUAUAAUGAGGGAAACAAGGCACUCUUACGUGGCAUGGCACAGAUGAAGAUCGCAUCACAUCACCACUCUGUUGCUCUCAUCACAGGAACCAAUGCAGAUUCCACACACGACUUAGGUGUUGAUGUAUUUUGCAGUUUCACUCCUCAUAGUCCCAAAGUACAACUUUCUGGAUGAUGUAGGAGACAUCAAUUAAACUGACGGAAACAGCAAGGCUCCUGAAGAAUGUGAGAAGUGUAUUUUCAUUCAACCGACGCUCUGCCACCAGGGUAAAUAUGGAAGUGGAACUCUCUCAUGGCUUUGCAUUUUCUCAAGAAGAAGGUGGUGCUGUC
RNAcentral lists this unclassified non-coding RNA (3713 nucleotides) under Schistocerca americana (American grasshopper). RNAcentral's name for it is "probable phospholipid-transporting ATPase IA, transcript variant X1". The record is from RNAcentral. Lineage: Eukaryota; Metazoa; Arthropoda; Insecta; Orthoptera; Acrididae.